GAUGAACGCUGGCGGCGUGCCUAAUACAUGCAAGUCGAGCGAACAGACGAGGAGCUUGCUCCUCUGACGUUAGCGGCGGACGGGUGAGUAACACGUGGAUAACCUACCUAUAAGACUGGGAUAACUUCGGGAAACCGGAGCUAAUACCGGAUAAUAUAUUGAACCGCAUGGUUCAAUAGUGAAAGACGGUUUUGCUGUCACUUAUAGAUGGAUCCGCGCCGCAUUAGCUAGUUGGUAAGGUAACGGCUUACCAAGGCAACGAUGCGUAGCCGACCUGAGAGGGGGAACCGGCCAACAGGAAAUGAGACACGGGCCAAAAUCCUAAGGGGGGGAAGAAGAGGGAAACUUGCGCAAAGGGCGAAAGGCUGAAGGGGGAAAGCCGGGGGAGGGAUGAAGGUCUUCGGAUCGGAAAACUCUGUUAUUAGGGAAAAAAAAAAGUGUAAAUAACUGUGCAAAGCUUGGAGGUACCUAAACAGAAAGCCAAGGGUAAAUAAGUG
This 497-nucleotide ribosomal RNA is filed under the name uncultured bacterium. RNAcentral describes it as "partial 16S ribosomal RNA". It matches the Rfam family "Bacterial small subunit ribosomal RNA", at positions 28 to 507 of the family's 1533-position model. The record is from RNAcentral.